UGAAGGUUACUCUGAUAUUUAUCCUAUUUCUGCUUGGCACGUGUUUGAACCAGAUAUAUCAUCUACAGUUUUUAACAAAUUGAAUAAUAUGAAUGAACAAGAUAAAAUAAAAUUAGAUCAGAAUAAUAAAAGGUUAGAUGAUAUUAUAGAAAGAUUAAAAAACAAAGAAGAUAAUAUGAAAAUAGGUACUAAAAAAAAAAUGGAUGAAAAAAAUAAAUUGAAAAAAAAAAAAAUAAAAUAUAUAAAUACUUCAUCAGAUGAAGAAGAUGACGACGAUGAUGAUGGUAAUGAUGAUGAUGAUUUAGGAUUAAAACGACAAGAAAAAAAAAGAUUAAGAAAAUUAUAUAGACAAAAAAUAAAUGAAAGUAAAGAGAAAAUUGAUUAUGUAAAUUCAGCAUUAGAUAUUAAAUCUAUUAAUAAAAAUAAAAUUGGUUGGGAUUAUUAUAAUGAUGGAAAAAAAAGUGAUGAUGAAGAUAUAAAUGAGCAAGAUUCAGGGAUGGAAGAUUUUGAUGAUGAUGAUGAUGAUGAGUUUGAUGAUUCUGAUAUUAAUUCGGAUAAUGACGAAUCUACAUUGACUUCUUAUGGACAAGCUGUGAAAUCUUUACUAAAACAACAAGUUAAUGAUGAAGAAGAUGAUGAAUUAGAACAAUAUUCUGAUGGUGAUGACGAUGAAGAUGAAGAUGAAGAUGAUGAAAAGGAAAAGCGUAAAAAUAUUUCUUUAAAAAAUAACAAAACAACUACAAAAAAAAGAUUAAUGCAAAAUAAAUCAGAAAUAAGUGAUAAUAAAAAUGGAAAUAAAAAGAGAAAACUUAACGUUAGUGGAAAAAAUAAAUAUAAACGGGAAGAAGAAGAAGAUGAUGAUGAUGAAUCAGAUGACGAAGAGGAUACUGAGGAAGAUGAAACAGGAGAUGAUGAAGGUACUGAUGAUGAAGAUGAAGAUGAGGAAGAAGAUGACGACGACGACGAAGAUGAUGAUGAUGAUGAUGAUGAUGAUGAUGAAGAAGAAGGUGAAGAUGAAGACGACGAUGACGAAGAUAGUGAUGAAGAAACAGAUAGUGAUGAUGAAGAAGAAGAAGAAGAAGAAAAAAAUAAAAAAAAAGGAGAAAAAAAAAAUGUAACACAACAAUCAAAACAAAAUAAUAAUCCUCCUACUAAUAUUAAUGAUUUCGUUAAAGAAAAAAUUAGAAGAAAAGAAAUAAAAAUAAGCGAAGAAAACUGCGCUAAACUUUUAUUAAAAAUUUUAAUGAAAAAUAAUGGAAAGAUGAAUAUAAUGACAUUAUU
RNAcentral lists this long non-coding RNA (1281 nucleotides) under Piliocolobus tephrosceles (Ugandan red Colobus). RNAcentral describes it as "lncRNA (ENSPTEG00000015098.1)". The record is from RNAcentral. Lineage: Eukaryota; Metazoa; Chordata; Mammalia; Primates; Cercopithecidae.